GGAGUUAGGAAAUGUAAGUACGCUAAUAUCGUGCUUAUUUGACAAAGGCUCCAAAGGAAGCCACGGCUAACUCUGUGCCAGCAGCCGCGGUAAUACAGAGGUGGCGAGCGUUGUUCGGAAUUAUUGGGCGUAAAGAGCACGUAGGUGGGUUUGUAAGUCAGAUGUGAAAGCCUUCUGUUCAACGGAAGAAUUGCAUCUGAAACUACUAAUCUUGAGUAUAGGAGGGGAGAGUGGAACUUCUG
RNAcentral lists this ribosomal RNA (242 nucleotides) under uncultured Planctomycetales bacterium. RNAcentral describes it as "partial 16S ribosomal RNA". It matches the Rfam family "Bacterial small subunit ribosomal RNA", at positions 439 to 672 of the family's 1533-position model. The record is from RNAcentral. Lineage: Bacteria; Pseudomonadati; Planctomycetota; Planctomycetia; Planctomycetales.